CUGACGCUGAGGCUCGAAAGUGCGGGUAUCAAACAGGAUUAGAUACCCUGGUAGUCCGCACAGUAAACGAUGAAUACUCGCUGUCGGCGAUACACGGUCGGCGGCCAAGCGAAAGCAUUAAGUAUUCCACCUGGGGAGUACGCCGGCAACGGUGAAACUCAAAGGAAUUGACGGGGGCCCGCACAAGCGGAGGAACAUGUGGUUUAAUUCGAUGAUACGCGAGGAACCUUACCCGGGCUUGAACUGCACCCGACGGACGGAGAGAUCCGUCUUCCGCAAGGCGGGUGUGGAGGUGCUGCAUGGUUGUCGUCAGCUCGUGCCGUGAGGUGUCGGCUUAAGUGCCAUAACGAGCGCAACCCUUCUCUUCAGUUGCCAUCAGGUAGAGCUGGGCACUCUGGAGACACUGCCAUCGUAAGAUGCGAGGAAGGUGGGGAUGACGUCAAAUCAGCACGGCCCUUACGUCCGGGGCUACACACGUGUUACAAUGGGAGGUACAGAAGGCCGCGACCCGGCGACGGGAAGCCAAUCCCCAAAUCCUCUCUCAGUUCGGACUGGAGUCUGCAACCCGACUCCACGAAGCUGGAUUCGCUAGUAAUCGCG
This 600-nucleotide ribosomal RNA is filed under the name uncultured bacterium. RNAcentral's name for it is "bacterial SSU rRNA". It matches the Rfam family "Bacterial small subunit ribosomal RNA", at positions 740 to 1346 of the family's 1533-position model. The record is from RNAcentral.